This is a long non-coding RNA of Wasmannia auropunctata (little fire ant), 899 nucleotides long. RefSeq lists it as uncharacterized. The record is from RefSeq and is a predicted model, not a curated record. The transcript is spliced from 5 exons. NCBI's taxonomy places the organism in Eukaryota, Metazoa, Arthropoda, Insecta, Hymenoptera, Formicidae.
ACCUGAUACCGCUGGCAGCGAUCACUUCCCCAUCGCCAUUCAAUUGGGUCUGGAAACUGUACCUAAGAAAAGCGAUAUAUCGCCUCGCACAAAACUCGUUAAGCAAUACAACGCCCCGCCGGUGUGGUGGGACGAGGCAUGUUAAUCUGCUAUAGAAAAUAGGAAAGAGGCUAUGCAAACGUUCAAACAACAUUCAACCUUGGAUAAUUUCGUAGCCUAUAAAAAAGCCUGCGCAAUCUGCACCAAGACCCUUCACAAAAUUAAGAGGGACAAAUGGAGAGAGCUCUGCCAUUCUUUUGAUGACUCGUGCCUUGAUGGGAAUUUGCCCUCUUUCUCGCGCAUGAAAUUGCAAGACGCGAGCAACCCUAACAUGAUUUCAUCGCUCAAUGAAAAAAUUACGAAGGAAGAAUUAAACUUGGCUUUGGACUCCUCUAAACAUUGUUUGAGUCGGGAUCUUUCCGGAGGAUUGAAAAUCAGCCCUAGUCAUCUUUAUCCCUAAAAGUGGGGGAAAGAGCGCCAGACCCAUCUCCCUGCUCUCUUGCAUUAUGAAACUAUUAGAAAAGAUCAUUUACUUUGGCGUGGCUUUACUUUCGGUGGGCCGUGGAGUCGCGCCCUAUUCUGCCGGAUUUUCAGUUUGGUUUCAGGCCGUCGAAGUCUUGUGCGGACAAUCUAAAUAUCAAAGGCGCCUUCGAUAACAUCAUCCCGUCAAUCCUACUACAGAAUUUACUCGACAUUGGAAUCCUUGCGAAUAUACGCAUGUUUGUUAAAAAUCUCCUCAGUGAAAGGAAAAUCUUUGCGGUUAGCAACGGUUUUUUACUGGGUCCGUUCCUUGCUCACAAAGGCACCCCACAGGGCUCCAUUUUGAGUCCUCUUCUCUUCAAUCUGUACUUGAGGCGCAU